Symphalangus syndactylus (siamang) is the source of this 2589-nucleotide long non-coding RNA. RefSeq lists it as uncharacterized. The record is from RefSeq and is a predicted model, not a curated record. Lineage: Eukaryota; Metazoa; Chordata; Mammalia; Primates; Hylobatidae.
AGGGCUGGGCAUGCGCUCGGCGGGGCCUCCGGCUCUCGGGGACGCGCACGGCGGGGCUCGCAGGGGCUGAACGCGCUCAGCUUCCUGGGGACUCCCCGACCCAAGCCAUGCAGUUCGCGCGCGUCGGGGGUGUGCGCUGGCAGCCGGAAAGUCGAAUAUCACUUCCUAUCCUGCAUCUGACGUGCUUUGGGGUUGAAAAAGCCCUUAUGUGGUAAAAAAUGUCAGAAAAGUGGCAAAAGUCUUCAAGGGCCUGAAAAUGGCCGAGACCGGAACUGAGAAGCUGGCAGUAGGUCCUGCUACUGCUGCAGGGGCGGCGGGCGCGCUGGGUGGGCCACGCGGCAGGGACAGCCGAGGCUCCGCGCCCACCUCACCCGCAAGGGGCCAAGCGCAGACUCAGGGGAGCCAGAGGGGCCGGACCCCUGAGCGAGGACUGGGGAAGGAUCCCAAGCUUGGAUAUUUGGAAAUGAAGAUGUGAUAUUUCACCCACCGACUCGUUCCGCAUGACCAAGGCCUGUGCCUGCCCUGAGGGCGAGUUGGUUGAGCCUUGUACAGACAACUCUCAGAGCGUGGGCCUGGGCCGAACCUUUCCCUGUGAGUAGCAGCAUCAGCGUCUAGAACGACGUCCCUCCCCGUCCACAGUGGAAGGUGCGGAGCUCCCGUGGUGUGCUGGCAGCCGUUCGCAGAAGGGAGAUGGAGGAGCACAGGGCAGAUCCUCGCACGGAGUCAUCGAGGUCCGGGGACACCUUCCUCCCAGGUCAGUGAAUUCACAAAGGCACCACACGUUAAUCCUUGGAGACAACCAUUCUGAUGUGGCUAAGGCCAAAACAUGGUUUUCAGGAAACCAACUUUUUGAUAAAUGACAAAACCUGAAUGCACGAGAAAUGUAUCUCAUUUUAAUGCCUGACUUCUAAGCAUCCUUAUUCAACAUAUUAUAUGUAUUUUUUGUUUCAUGAGUAAAAUGUGCAUUGAGCUUCCUCCAAUAGCUGUCCAUAGACCAGCCACUAUCACUGCCAUCAUUAUUUUGUUUCUAAACUUUUCGUUUACACGUGUAGGUCUAGCUUUUUCCUCCAUAUUGAUGAAAUAAAACUCACUCAUUUCACAACUCAAAGCCAGGGCCUUCAGUUCACAGCCCGUUGCCUCAGACGGCCUUUCCUAUAUCUUAUUGCUUCACUGUCUGACUCACUCCAGCGUGUUUCAGCCAAAUAUACUUGUUUUUAUUCAUCUUGCUCUCUUUUCCUCCCUCCCCCAACUCCCCUUUUCCCUCUGUCUCUUUGUCUCUUUCUCUCUCCCCCAUCCCUCCCUCUCUUCCCCUUUCUCUCUGGAUGCCCUCUCUCCCUCUCUGCCUGUUUUUCUUCUCUGUGUCUGGCUCCAUAAUAUUCAGAAAUCCCAACAGGAGCAGCUGGAGCUAGUAAAGAAACCCCAGAGUCCUGUGCUGCUGCCCUUGCCUCCUCCAACUGGUGAGCCCAGUCGGCCCAUUUUUAGGCAGUGCUGUGUUUGGAAAUGGGCCCUUCCUCUGGGGUCCGCUGCUUCCCUCUGCCUGACUCAGAAGAAUGAGCCAAGAGGGAAGAACAGCUUGUAUUAGGGAGAGGGUCCCUUGUGCUGUUGCCUUUUUCUGAAUCAUUUCAAUCAUGUUUGCCAAAUUCCUUACAAAGUUCUGUUCCCUCGUUUGACAAUGAGCAGAGGCAGGAGAGAUGAAUUGCUAAAUGGUUGUAUCCCACACCGUGCUGGAAGGCUCAGCAGAACAGAGACCUGUGUCAAGCAGGGCUUCCUUCUCCACCAGGCCCUUCAGCCUGCAUUUUAACCUGUGACUUGCGAGGAGAUAGCCUGUGAUCACACCACAGGCCUGCUUACAUUACAGGAAGCAAAAUGCCAAUUCCUUCUACCCCUUUCCCCCCCGGUAGAAACCCUGCUAGUUCUUUUUAAAAAAGGGAGAGAGAUCAUGUAUAGAAAACCUUUUUUACAAUUUAUUUCCUGUUGUUAAUCUUUAAAAAUGAGGUUCUAGCUAAGUGCAGGGUUUCAGUGAUGAAAUUUUGACCAUGUGAACACAUAAAUAAAUAUUUACAGUCUUUGGCAAAACACAUGACGUUUCAUCAACCUAUACGAUAAAUUUGUUUAGAAAAACAUAAAUAAUUUACAAAAAAUAUGGUACAUCCUAAAUAUUCACAUCAUCAUCAUUCCCACACCGUUGUACGGUUGACCCCACAACACGGAAACAGAAAAACCUGCACGCUGUUGACAGUCGCUACAUUUAAUGAAGUCUCCCAACACUUCGUUGGUCUUGGGAAUACAGCUCCACACAAAAAAGUAAAAAGUGCAGCAAAACAACAACACAACGAUCAACCUCAAAGGAAACAAAAAUAAUUUUAUCAAAAUGCAAUGUGUACAUUAAGACUAAAGUUAUGGAUCGUUCCUAUUUGGCAUAGAAAUGUGAUGACUAUUAACAGAAAGGGGAAAAAGAUUUGCCCCCUAUCAGACAGACAGACUUCUCUUACUAAACCCCUUAUGUGGAGUGGGAUGAGCGACUAUUUCCUGCAGAAAGAUCAUGCAACUUAAAGCAAAAAAACAAACCAACAAAAAAACAAAAACAAA